UAUUUUGGGUAAUCGCUAUAAAUAUGAUUUAUAGAGGAAAGUCCAUGCUCACACAAUCUGAGAUGAUUGUAGUGUUCGUGCUUGAUGAAACCAUAAGUCAAGGCAAUGUAAAUUGACGGCAACGAAUUAACCUAAGUCUCCGGAUAAGGUUAUAAUAGUUUGAAAGUGCCACAGUGACGUAGCUCUAAUAGAAAUAUUAGAGGUGGAACGCGGUAAACCCCUCGAGUGAGCAAUCCAAAUUUGGUAGGAGCACUUGUUUAGCGGAAUUCAACGCAUAAACGAGAAAGUAUUAAAUGAUACUUUAGACAGAUGAUUAUCACCAGCGUACGAGUGCAACUAGUGCACGUGAUAGUACUAAGGUACAGAACAUGGCUUAUAGAA
RNAcentral lists this RNase P RNA (381 nucleotides) under Staphylococcus dromedarii. RNAcentral's name for it is "Staphylococcus sp. IVB6240 RNase P RNA component class B". It matches the Rfam family "Bacterial RNase P class B". Rfam says of the family: Ribonuclease P (RNase P) is a ubiquitous endoribonuclease, found in archaea, bacteria and eukarya as well as chloroplasts and mitochondria. Its best characterised activity is the generation of mature 5'-ends of tRNAs by cleaving the 5'-leader elements of precursor-tRNAs. The record is from RNAcentral. Lineage: Bacteria; Bacillati; Bacillota; Bacilli; Caryophanales; Staphylococcaceae.